UACGUAGGGUGCAAGCGUUAAUCGGAAUUACUGGGCGUAAAGCGUGCGCAGGCGGUUUUGUAGUCUGAUGUGAAAUCCCCGGGCUCAACCUGGGAAUUGCAUUGGAGACUGCAAGGCUAGAAUCUGGCAGAGGGGGGUAGAAUUCCACGUGUAGCAGUGAAAUGCGUAGAGAUGUGGAGGAACACCGAUGGCGAAGGCAGCCCCCUGGGUCAAGAUUGACGCUCAUGCACGAAAGCGUGGGGAGCAAACAGG
Molecule: ribosomal RNA, 252 nt
Filed under: uncultured bacterium
Lineage: Bacteria
Description: partial 16S ribosomal RNA
Rfam family: Bacterial small subunit ribosomal RNA
Source: RNAcentral